UGAGUACGUAGUUUGAUCUUGGCUACAGGACGAACGCUGGCGGCAUGCCUAACACAUGCAAGUCGAACGGAGAAAAGGAGCUUGCUUCUUUUUCUUAGUGGCGGACGGUGAGUAACGCGUGGGUAACCUGCCUUACACAGGGGGAUAACAGUUAGAAAUGACUGCUAAUACCGCAUAACCCGCUAGUACCGCAUGGUACAGACGGAAAAGAUUUAUCGGUGUAAGAUGGACCCGCGUCUGAUUAGCUGGUUGGUGGGGUAACGGCCUACCAAGGCAACGAUCAGUAGCCGGCCUGAGAGGGUGACCGGCCACAUUGGGACUGAGACACGGCCCAAACUCCUACGGGAGGCAGCAGUGGGGAAUAUUGCACAAUGGGGGAAACCCUGAUGCAGCGACGCCGCGUGAGUGAAGAAGUAUUUCGGUAUGUAAAGCUCUAUCAGCAGGGAAGAAAAUGACGGUACCUGACUAAGAAGCCCCGGCUAACUACGUG
Molecule: ribosomal RNA, 490 nt
Filed under: uncultured bacterium
Lineage: Bacteria
Description: bacterial SSU rRNA
Rfam family: Bacterial small subunit ribosomal RNA
Source: RNAcentral